This is a non-coding RNA of Microcebus murinus (gray mouse lemur), 401 nucleotides long. The record is from RefSeq and is a predicted model, not a curated record. Lineage: Eukaryota; Metazoa; Chordata; Mammalia; Primates; Cheirogaleidae.
UCUGCAGGGAGAGGUGAGUCGAGUCCAAUCCCGGGCGACCCAGCAGAGUGGAGGAGCAACAGUUGCUAAAAGGGAAUGAUGGGUAAAUAAAAGUCUUCGCCAGAGAGCAGAAAUCUUCACAGGUGGUGCAUGGUACUGAAAACUUCCAGAAAGACAUGGGCAGGCUGGCAUUUGGUGACCAAGUCUACUCCUGAGAUGCUCAGCUGCUUGCUUUGGCUGUGGUGGCUGGUGUCCAAGUAGGCAUGCAGUUGGCGGGGCUCAGGUGUUAGCAAGCACGGCUUCAGGGCCCUCUGUGGCUGAUAUUGACCAGAGAAGGCAUGUUUUUUUGGUCACAUCUGAUAAAGGAGACUUUUGCAGCUUCACUGAAGUAUAAUUGGCUAAUAAAAAUUGCAUUGAACGUG